Molecule: unclassified non-coding RNA, 1177 nt
Filed under: Hevea brasiliensis (rubber tree)
Lineage: Eukaryota; Viridiplantae; Streptophyta; Magnoliopsida; Malpighiales; Euphorbiaceae
Source: RNAcentral
GGGGGAUGCUAUUUGCCUUUGCUAUGGCUUGGAUUGUUACCCUUCCAAUUGGGGUCAUUCAAGCAACAACUAACCAGCAACCUGGAUAUGAUAUUAUAGCACAGUUCAUUAUUGGCUAUAUUCUUCCUGGAAAGCCAAUUGCAAAUCUGCUUUUCAAGAUCUAUGGGAGGAUCAGUACAGUUCAUGCUCUGUCUUUCUUAUCUGAUCUUAAACUUGGUCAUUAUAUGAAAAUCCCACCAAGAUGCAUGUACACCGCCCAGUUAGUCGGGACGCUAGUUGCUGGGACGAUUAACCUGGCCGUUGCUUGGUGGAUGCUGGACGGUAUAGAGAACAUCUGUGAUGUUGAUGCUCUCCACCCUGAUAGUCCAUGGACUUGUCCAAAAUACCGAGUCACAUUUGAUGCUUCUGUUAUAUGGGGACUGAUUGGACCAAGGCGGUUGUUUGGACCCGGUGGACUGUAUCGCAACUUGGUGUGGCUAUUCCUGAUCGGAGCGGUCCUUCCAGUUCCCAUCUGGGCAUUGAGUAAAGCUUUCCCUGAAAAGAAAUGGAUUGCGCUGAUAAACAUACCAGUUAUCUCCUAUGGCUUUGCAGGGAUGCCACCAGCAACUCCUACAAACAUAGCAAGCUGGCUCAUGACUGGAACUGUUUUCAAUUACUUCGUCUUCCGGUACCACAAGCGCUGGUGGCAGAAGUACAAUUACAUCCUCUCGGCAGCGCUCGAUGCAGGGACCGCUUUCAUGGGUGUUCUGCUUUUCUUUGCGCUGCAGAAUGCAGGCCAUACCUUGAGCUGGUGGGGAUCACAACCAGAUCAUUGUCCUUUGGCAAAGUGUCCAACAGCUCCCGGGAUCGCCGUGAAAGGAUGUCCGGUAUUCUAGCAGCAGCAAACUGAUCAUGGUUAUGCAAGAAAUGCCAUGAAGAAAUGGGAGUUUCUGAAGAUCUUCGAGUCCUAGGGACGAUGAAACUGAUAACAAAUAUGUUGCGGAGUUAUGUUCAGAUUCUUGCUUUGGUUUAGUUGUUUAUAAAUGCCAGUUGAUUGUAAUGAGCGGUUCAAGUGAUUGAGUGGCCUCCAUAUGACAUCAAGUUGAAUACAAGUUGUGCUACAUCCUUUUAGUUUUGAGUAUGCUACUGGAGAUGGCAAGCACAAAAUAAAAGCAAAAGUCUUUUUCUUUUCUUUUUU